This 313-nucleotide long non-coding RNA is filed under the name Brassica napus (rape). Its description in RNAcentral is "long non-coding RNA (BNAP_LNC011926)". Lineage: Eukaryota; Viridiplantae; Streptophyta; Magnoliopsida; Brassicales; Brassicaceae. The record is from RNAcentral.
UGGACCAACUGACCAUUUGCAAGAAUUCACCUAAUGUUUUGUGCUUAACGAAUGUAAGAGUUGGUUGAUUUGAAUAUGUGGAUGAUUGAUGAUGAGUGUAAGGGCAAAAAGAGUUGAGAUAGACCUAGAGAAGCUAGAGUGUAAUAAGAGAGUGUGCUAAUUGUGUGUGCUAGUUGUGUUUCUUUUGGCUAUGAGCUCCCAACUUCAAACCUCUCUCCCUAUGAGUUCUAGAAAGUUCACUUGUGGACAAGUAAAAGAACAAGUUUAGGGGAGUUGAUAUCUUGCAUAUUUACAUUGUUUUAUCCAUUCAUCC